CUUUCUGUUCAGGUCAGGGCUGCUAUAAUCUUCUCUCCUCUGGCUUGUCACAGAUGGCUUCUGUCAGAUUUCUCCUGUUUUUGUCACUAAUUUCUGUGUCUGCAGCUCUACAGCAGAAUGUUCAGGCGACGCUCGGAGCUGACAUCACUCUUCAAUGUCAGAUUUCCACAGAUGAAAGAAUCUCAGUGCUGAAGUGGAGCAGACCUGACCUGAACACAGACGGCUACGUCUACUUCUACAGGAACAAACGCUCCUAUGAAAACUACCAACAUCCAUCUUUUCAUGGAAGAGUGAAGCUGAGGGACCCGGAGAUGAAGGAUGGAGACGUUUCUGUGAUCCUGAAGAACGUCACAUUUAAUGACACUGGGAUUUAUGAGUGUCAUAUAGCUGUGAGGAACCCUGUGAGAAGUAAAAGAGCUCACACUGAGAUCAGUCACUUCAUCAACCUCACAGUCACAGGUGAAGUGCAUGAAAACAUGUUUAAGAACCACAUCAUGGAAAGAGAAGAUGCUGAUGGAAACACUGAGGUUGAACAGGUUGAAGCACAGACUAUCCUCAUUGUUGCUGGUGUUGUCAUUGCUGUUGCUGCAGCUGUUGGUUUGUUAGUGUUGCUUCUUAAGAGAAAUAAGAAGCAGCAUCUACCCUACUGAGGAAGAAUUAGUAGGAAGUCCUGCUGAUUACAAAUAAAACAGCCAUAAAGAUUUAAAUAUAUUUAAUUGGAAGUGAAAAUGAUAAGAUCGCAAACUGUUUAUUAGAUGAGAAUUUGUAACCAUUAAAACGAUUAAACACUGUCCUCACAUAUCUAUCAUAAAAAUAUCCUCAUAACUACAUUUAUAAUUAUUAAUACCAGUUAAAUAUAUACACCUAGAGAACAAAUCUUGCUUAUUGAAGCUAGUCUGUGCAUUCAAAGCAGUGGUAGGAAACUUUGUGUGCACACAUUUGCAUGUAUGGAAAUGACACAUAGAUAUUUGUGCUCUCAGGUGCACUGCAAGCAUUUCAUCUACUGCAUAUACAUGGAUACAUUAGAAUUACUAACAUAAUGAAAUGUAUGUGUUUAGACAUUGAAGCAUCCGGAGUAACAAGAAAAUCCAUACAAAAAGGCCACAGCCAAGAUUUGAACCAGGAACUUUCUUGUUGUGAGGCGACAGUGCUAAUCGUUAGUGUUAGUGGAUGCUGAUGGAGACUUGAGGGUGUGAUGUGUUGUUAAAACUGUUGUAAAAUGUCAGAAAAGGUCAAAUUUGACCCAAACAGAAAGUAAAGGGUUGAGGAAAGAUUAAACACUGACACUUCAGUAACUACAUUUAUCAAGUACACCACACUGAAGACCAUCUCUGCUGUCCAUUAAUGUCAAACCAAGUAAAGUUUUAGACAUUGCAGGUGAUAAUUUUGAGACUACUGCACUUCCUGUGUCACACCAUCUCAUGAUGUCAGACGUUUUAUCCUCACAGUCUUUUAUUUGAGCAGUGUUCAAAAACAAAAGGAGAAAAACUGAAAAGAUGUUUGCUGAUGUUUUAGCAACAUUUACCUCAAAACUGUAGGAAAAAAAAAAAAAGUCUGCUGAGGCUGGUAAAAGUUCUACACCUCUGCAAAGGUGGUGGUAUGGUGAAUACAUCAGUAGGUUACCGAGGCCUCCAUGGCCUCAACUCAGCUACAAAUAGCCCCUUUUCACUAAUACCUACUCGACUCUGCUCUGCUUGGUUUUGGUCAUUUGUUUUUAUAAUCGAGUGCCACCUGACAUGCAUGCAGGCGUUAAAGUGAUGCAGCUGAACGUAAGGAUGUCAAGGUGAUGGUAUACUUGCUGAUUGUUCUGUGGCUGCCAUUUCCCUCAUUGCUGGCUUUUAAUGGUGGCUAGUCAGAAAGACUGACUAGCCACCGUUAAUGUCACAUUUUUUAGAUCGCCACACUUAGUUCACUCAAAGUACCAGGUACUACAAGGUAAUGGCAAACCCUAAAAACUGAGUCAAGCUGGGCUGACUUGACCUGAGUAGGUACUAAUAGAAAAGGACUAAAAGUGUUGAGUGGAGGGGGAAAAAAAACA
Oreochromis niloticus (Nile tilapia) is the source of this 2038-nucleotide long non-coding RNA. RefSeq annotates it as myelin-oligodendrocyte glycoprotein. The record is from RefSeq and is a predicted model, not a curated record. The transcript is spliced from 3 exons. NCBI's taxonomy places the organism in Eukaryota, Metazoa, Chordata, Actinopteri, Cichliformes, Cichlidae.